Molecule: ribosomal RNA, 498 nt
Filed under: uncultured bacterium
Lineage: Bacteria
Description: partial 16S ribosomal RNA
Rfam family: Bacterial small subunit ribosomal RNA
Source: RNAcentral
AUUGAACGCUGGCGGCAUGCCUUACACAUGCAAGUCGAACGGCAGCACGGGGCAACCUGGUGGCGAGUGGCGAACGGGUGAGUAAUGCAUCGGAACGUACCUUUCAGUGGGGGAUAACGUAGCGAAAGUUACGCUAAUACCGCAUAUUCUGUGAGCAGGAAAGCAGGGGAUCGCAAGGCCUUGCGCUGAUGGAGCGGCCGAUGUAAGAUUAGCUAGUUGGUGAGGUAAAGGCUCACCAAGGCGACGAUCUGUAGCGGGUCUGAGAGGAUGAUCCGCCACACUGGAACUGAGACACGGUCCAGACUCCUACGGGAGGCAGCAGUGGGGAAUUUUGGACAAUGGGGGCAACCCUGAUCCAGCCAUGCCGCGUGAGUGAAGAAGGCCUUCGGGUUGUAAAGCUCUUUCGGCCGGGAAGAAAUCGCACGGGCUAAUACCCUGUGUGGAUGACGGUACCGGAAUAAGAAGCACCGGCUAACUACGUGCCAGCCGCCGCGGUAA